UACGUAGGGUGCGAGCGUUGUCCGGAUUUAUUGGGCGUAAAGAGCUCGUAGGCGGUUUGUCGCGUCGGCCGUGAAAUCUCCACGCUUAACGUGGAGCGUGCGGUCGAUACGGGCAGACUUGAGUUCGGUAGGGGAGACUGGAAUUCCUGGUGUAGCGGUGAAAUGCGCAGAUAUCAGGAGGAACACCGGUGGCGAAGGCGGGUCUCUGGGCCGAUACUGACGCUGAGGAGCGAAAGCGUGGGGAGCAAACGGG
Molecule: ribosomal RNA, 253 nt
Filed under: uncultured bacterium
Lineage: Bacteria
Description: partial 16S ribosomal RNA
Rfam family: Bacterial small subunit ribosomal RNA
Source: RNAcentral